GGGAGACACGUGGCAGCGGGCGGGGUUAGGGGGUGGGGGGCGGCGUUGUUCUGAAGUACGGGGGGUAAAGGGGUAGUAGGCGGUGUGGCAAGUCGGGAGUGAAAUCGCUGGGCUCAACUCAGAGGCUGCUUCCGAAACUGCUGUGCUGGAGUGUGGGAGAGGCGCGUGGAAUUGCAGGUGUAGCGGUGAAAUGCGUAGAUAUCUGCAGGAACACCCGUGGCGAAAGCGGCGCGCUGGACCACUACUGACGCUGAGGAACGAAAGCUAGGGGAGCAAACAGGAUUAGAUACCCCAGUAGUC
Molecule: ribosomal RNA, 300 nt
Filed under: uncultured Pyrobaculum sp.
Lineage: Archaea; Thermoproteati; Thermoproteota; Thermoprotei; Thermoproteales; Thermoproteaceae
Description: bacterial SSU rRNA
Rfam family: Bacterial small subunit ribosomal RNA (bases 53-300)
Source: RNAcentral